CCCUCGCCUCGUCCCACUCCCACUCCCAUUCUAGCCGCCAAAUAAACCCUAGCCCCCUUGCCCAAUGCCCCCCGAUCCCCACAGCCGCCGCACGGCCUCGCUCCUCCUUCCCUCCCGCCACAACCUCUCCUUGCUCGCAACCGCCUCCUUCCCACCUCCGCCCGAGCUCCGCCUUCCUCGCCCGCCUCCUCCUCCUUGCCAUUGGCGGAAGCGUUGAGCAUAGGGGCAGCGGCUAGACGCGAUGAGCUUGCCUCCGGCGGCGCUAGGAACCUGCACGCAAAGGGCGACCCCAUGGAUCUGUCCCUGCAGGAGAUAGAAGUUGGAGGGAGGAUUGAAGGAUAGGGGGAGGUAGGCGUGCUGGGGCGGGGUUGUCUCGCCUGCGAUCCUCGCCUGCCUCCUCCUCCUUGCCAUCGGCGGAAGCGCUGAGCAUAGGGGCAGCGGCUGGACGUGAUGAGCUUGCCUCCGGCGGCGCUAGGAACCUGCACGCAAAGGGCGACCCCAUGGAUCCGUCCCUGUAGGAGAGAGAAGAUGGAGGGAGGAUUGAAGGAUAGGAGGAGGUAGGCGUGCUAGGGCGGGGUGGUCUCGCCUGCGAUGACAGGGCUGACCGACCGGAGUUGGAUCGAGAUCCCGGCUGGCACGGCUCGGCUCCAACUCCCUCUUCCACCUCUCCGCUCCCUGACACUCAAAUCUGGCUCUUCUACACACAUCCGUAGCUAUGGAAAGAAAGCUUGUAGUGGAGUGGCUUCCUUUGUAUGAUCCUGGAAGAUGGUCUAUAUUGUUGACUAUGGACUUCAGACCGUUUAUAUUUUCCUCCGUGAACCUACCACUGAUGUUUUGGAGGUGCUUGCUUUGCGUAGAUGACCUCUGAAGCCCAUUAGAAAGCAUGGCAACGGCUAAAGGUUAGCGCAUUUCGAGAAGCCAACAGAUCGCCGCCUACUUCCUUAGGCUGACAAUCACCUGCAGGAUAAAGUGCGAUGUUUUGCCCGAGGGGUUGGAGCAGGACCGCAGGAUGAGAGAAGAUCAAGGACUGGGCCAACGCGGUCAUCACGCACGAACCAGUGUAGCCCAUUGGCACUGGUAAAGUAGUAUCGGCGGCUCAGGGACAUGAAGUUUCUCAAAACUAACAAAUGCUGCUCUCUGAUAAAUUAGGAGGCUGAAGAUGAUGCUAUCUGGAUUUGCCGCCACCGCCUCGAGUCGCUUUCGCCUGUAAAUCCAGUCGCCACCAUGGUAAUUUCUUUUCAGUACCAACUCUCCUCCUGUCCCCCGCAUUUGCUUGCUACGGGUUCUUUUUGUGUGUGUGCUUGUUGGCUUAGUGACGUGUGUGUUCAGGCACGCGUUGUCUUUGCCUGCCAGGGUGUUGGCUCUGCUACUUGGCCGGUUACAGCAAGUAGGAAGCUGAUAGGAUGGUAUUUCUCCUUCGUCAGCCAAGGAGUUCACACAUCUCUCGGUUCUCUGGGCAUGUCACCAUGGACAAGAAGAGUGGGAGGACACUCUUCUACUGGUUCUUGGAGGCUCAGGCACAACGUCUCCUUCUCUAGCUCAAUUGGGAUUUCUUACUUACCUCAUUCUCUUGUUUUUCAUUUUUUUUACUUAGUCACUUAUUUCUGGAAAGAUUUUGUAGCUAUUAUCUUGAGCUGCUUGUAGUUCAAUAAUGUUUCGGUUGCUACUUGGGGUGCAUACAUGAGAAUACACAUUAUUUUUCAGUUCAAUGCGAAAUAGAUAACUUUUGGUUGUCGCCAUUAGGACACAAAAGUACUAGAUUUUGAAGUUUUUAAUAGCUCAAAUAUGCCAACUGCAGAGCAACAUGGCAGUUACAAUGGUUCCAUGUCCUAAUUAGUUCUUUUAUUUCGUUUUGCAGGCGUAUUAUGUUGGAGGUUGUUUCUUAUUUUUACUAUAGAUCAAGUUUCUUUGUUUCCUUUCUAGCUACCUCUGUUGCAUUUGUUUUAUAUAUCCUAUAUGCUUUAAAUAUCCUAUAUGCUGUCAUGAUCCUUGCUUCAGUCCUCAUGUUGAUUUUCCAAAUUUGGUUGGGUGUUUUUUUUGGCCCUUGUGCGCUUUGAUCGAUGUGCUCUGGCUUUGUGACUCUGAUGAUGCACAGGCAAUGGCGGCAUGGGUGGAAUGAGAGGAAGGAUGGGAAUCAGCUACUUGCAUUCACAUGGAGGAGGCAACGUCAACUCGAUGGCACAGCAGAGGAGGCUGGGCUCGUUGUGGAUCUUCUUGAGGCAGCAGGACGUCCGCGAGAGCAUCGCUGCUGGCAACGGCUCGAGUGACCUCUUGAGGAUCUUCUCCAUGAGCACCUGGGACGACACCAACUCCAACAUCAUGUUCUCAGCGCCCGACAGCAAGAAGGCCGAGGUGCUCGGCGACAGCGAUGUCAGCAUGGUCACCAGCUUCAGCAACAUCGACUCCCAGUUAGCCCUCUCGAGCUGGACAUGCCCAGCAUGGACGACUACCUGCAGCUGCAGCAGGACUCCGCCGACUACAGAGUCCAUGCCGAGCGUGGCUGCACCACUGACCCGCAGAGCAUUGCUUGGGAGGGAAAGAAGAACAAGGAUCAAUAAGAGGCUAAGGAGGCUGCAAAGAUCUCAUUCCCUACAUGGACAAGGUCACAAGGUAACUAAAUCAGCUGAAUUGAUGCACACUGUCAAUUAUGUUACGACACAGAGAUGAAAUUUUCAUUAGGAAUUACAGAAAAUUGUACUCGCUAAAGUACUAAAUCUGAUGACUACAUGUUGCAUAUUUAGCGAUAAAACUGAAUACUAAAGUACUAAAUUUGGUGUUCCUAACCCGAGUUGGAAGUGUUGCCCACGAAAAUCGGUAGUUGUCAAUAACCCGGACCUUAGUUACUUCAGAUUUCAGAAUUGCAAAAGUGGCAACUAAAAAAAACCUUAAAUGUUAGCUAUACUUUCUGUCGUUAUCAUGAUGGUGCAAUACUUUGUAGUAGAUUCUCUUCGAAUCCUUCUCUAACAAGGUUAUGGUAGUAAUUUGUACAAAAGUUGCUAUGAUUUUUUGAUUCUCAGUUUAUUCUACCAUGGAUUCCCUCUGGUAUGUGCAUGUUUCACGACUGAAUAUACACGUGGAAGAAACUUGAGAGCCAAUAUUAGUGCUAAAGGAUUACUCUGAUUGCCGAUCUAUGCUGUCGCGGCAACACAGGCCAAUACACAUUCAGGAAAUAUGUGACCAACUUCCCCAAGGUCCCGCAUCGUCUACUCAGGAUAUUCUGUGCCCCAAGCCCUACAGAAUAAUGCCCAGUCUAAUUUCAACAGUGGGCAUGACAACAUCAAACUUCUCUCUUCAAUAUUGAAGAAGCGGCGGCUUACUCGGAUCAAUGGGCAUGCACUUAGAAAAAUAGCUAAAGAGUAUGUGAUAUUCCUAGAGUAAAUAAAGGACAUGGUGUGCUCAUAAGUUAGACAGAAGCAAAAUGUUAUUUAUUAUGCUCCUGUUGUAUCUUCAGACAUUUUCUUCCACCUACCAAUACCCCAGUAUUGAAUAUCUACUUUCCCAUUGUCGUACAUAAACUGAUGUUAGUAUUUGUGCA
This is an RNA transcript of Triticum aestivum (bread wheat), 3535 nucleotides long. RefSeq lists it as uncharacterized. The transcript is spliced from 8 exons. Lineage: Eukaryota; Viridiplantae; Streptophyta; Magnoliopsida; Poales; Poaceae. The record is from RefSeq and is a predicted model, not a curated record.